GUUCCCGUACGAUCACCGAAGUUAAGCAUUGUCGGGCCUGGUCAGUACCUAGAUGGGUGACCGCUUGGGAAUACCAGGUGCUC
This is a non-coding RNA of Acanthosepion pharaonis, 83 nucleotides long. NCBI's taxonomy places the organism in Eukaryota, Metazoa, Mollusca, Cephalopoda, Sepiida, Sepiidae. The record is from the annotation of a GenBank genome assembly.